This 513-nucleotide ribosomal RNA is filed under the name uncultured bacterium. RNAcentral describes it as "partial 16S ribosomal RNA". It matches the Rfam family "Bacterial small subunit ribosomal RNA", at positions 28 to 523 of the family's 1533-position model. The record is from RNAcentral.
GAUGAACGCUGGCGGCGUGCCUAAUACAUGCAAGUCGAGCGAACAGACGAGGAGCUUGCUCCUCUGACGUUAGCGGCGGACGGGUGAGUAACACGUGGAUAACCUACCUAUAAGACUGGGAUAACUUCGGGAAACCGGAGCUAAUACCGGAUAAUAUAUUGAACCGCAUGGUUCAAUAGUGAAAGACGGUUUUGCUGUCACUUAUAGAUGGAUCCGCGCCGCAUUAGCUAGUUGGUAAGGUAACGGCUUACCAAGGCAACGAUGCGUAGCCGACCUGAGAGGGUGAUCGGCCACACUGGAACUGAGACACGGUCCAGACUCCUACGGGAGGCAGCAGUAGGGAAUCUUCCGCAAUGGGCGAAGGCCUGACGGAGCAACGCCGCGUGAGUGAUGAAGGUCUUCGGAUCGUAAAACUCUGUUAUUAGGGAAGAACAAGUGUGUAAGUAACUAUGCACGUCUUGACGGCACCUAAUCAGAAAGCCACGGCUAACUACGUGCCAGCCGCCGCUGUAA